AGUCGACGAUGAUCCCAGCUUGCUGGGGGAUUAGUGGCGAACGGGUGAGUAACACGCUGAUUAACCUGCCCUUGACUCUGGGAUAAGCCUGGGAAACUGGGUCUAAUACCGGAUACGACCAUCUGGCGCAUGUCAUGGUGGUGGAAAGCUUUUGUGGUUUUGGAUGGACUCGCGGCCUAUCAGCUUGUUGGUGGGGUAAUGGCCUACCAAGGCGACGACGGGUAGCCGGCCUGAGAGGGUGACCGGCCACACUGGGACUGAGACACGGCCCAGACUCCUACGGGAGGCAGCAGUGGGGAAUAUUGCACAAUGGGCGCAAGCCUGAUGCAGCGACGCCGCGUGAGGGAUGACGGCCUUCGGGUUGUAAACCUCUUUCAGUAGGGAAGAAGCGAAAGUGACGGUACCUGCAGAAGAAGCGCCGGCUAACUACGUGCCAGCAGCCGCGGUAAUACGUAGGGCGCAAGCGUUAUCCGGAAUUAUUGGGCGUAAAGAGCUCGUAG
Molecule: ribosomal RNA, 500 nt
Filed under: Paenarthrobacter nitroguajacolicus
Lineage: Bacteria; Bacillati; Actinomycetota; Actinomycetes; Micrococcales; Micrococcaceae
Description: bacterial SSU rRNA
Rfam family: Bacterial small subunit ribosomal RNA
Source: RNAcentral